AAAGAAAGAAAGAAAGAAAGAAAGAAAGAAAGAAAGAGGAAGGAAGAAAGAAAGAAAAAGGAAGGAAGAAAGAAAGAAAGAAAGAAAGAAAGAAAGAAAGAAAGAAAGAAAGAAAGAAAGAAAGAAAGAAAGAAAGAAAGAAAGAAAGAAAGAAAGAGAAAGAAAGAAAGAAGAAAAAAGAAAAGAAAAAAGAGAGAGAGAGAGAGAGAGAGAGAGAGAGAGAGAGAGAGAGAGAGAGAGAGAGAGAGAGAGAGAGAAGCAGCUAGGUGGCUAAGUGGACUGAGCCAGACUUAGAGAUGGAAGGUCCUGGGUUCA
Molecule: long non-coding RNA, 315 nt
Filed under: Monodelphis domestica (gray short-tailed opossum)
Lineage: Eukaryota; Metazoa; Chordata; Mammalia; Didelphimorphia; Didelphidae
Description: lncRNA (ENSMODG00000043367.1)
Source: RNAcentral